Long non-coding RNA from Telopea speciosissima, 136 nucleotides. RefSeq lists it as uncharacterized. NCBI's taxonomy places the organism in Eukaryota, Viridiplantae, Streptophyta, Magnoliopsida, Proteales, Proteaceae. The transcript has 3 exons. The record is from RefSeq and is a predicted model, not a curated record.
CACCUUGUGACAAACCUAAGCAACUUCAAAAAGGCCGGUGAGAAGAUGAUGAAUAACAGUAAGUACCGGCUCUUCUGGACUCCUUGUGCGGCCCAUUGCAUUGAUCUAAUGUUGAAGGAUAUGGGGAAGUUAAAGU